AUUGAACGCUGGCGGCAGGCCUAACACAUGCAAGUCGAACGAGUGGCGGACGGGUGAGUAAUGUCUGGGAAACUGCCUGAUGGAGGGGGAUAACUACUGGAAACGGUAGCUAAUACCGCAUACCAUCAGAUGUGCCCAGAUGGGAUUAGCUAGUUGGUGGGGUAACGGCUCACCAAGGCGACGAUCCCUAGCUGGUCUGAGAGGAUGACCAGCCACACGGGAACGGAGACACGGCCCGGACUCCGACGUGAGGCAGCAGUGGGGAAUAUUGGGCAAUGGGCGCAAGCCUGCCGCAGCCAUUCCGCGUGAAUGAAGAAGGCCUUCGGGUUGUAAAGGACUUUCAGUGACGAGGCGUUACCCGAAGAAGAAGCACCGGCUAACUCCGUGCCAGCAGCCGCGGUAAUAC
Molecule: ribosomal RNA, 406 nt
Filed under: uncultured bacterium
Lineage: Bacteria
Description: partial 16S ribosomal RNA
Rfam family: Bacterial small subunit ribosomal RNA
Source: RNAcentral